AGUGAACGCUGGCGGUAGGCCUAACACAUGCAAGUCGAACGGCAGCACAGUAAGAGCUUGCUCUUACGGGUGGCGAGUGGCGGACGGGUGAGGAAUACAUCGGAAUCUACUUUUUCGUGGGGGAUAACGUAGGGAAACUUACGCUAAUACCGCAUACGACCUACGGGUGAAAGCAGGGGAUCUUCGGACCUUGCGCGAUUGAAUGAGCCGAUGUCGGAUUAGCUAGUUGGCGGGGUAUAGGCCCACCAAGGCGACGAUCCGUAGCUGGUCUGAGAGGAUGAUCAGCCACACUGGAACUGAGACACGGUCCAGACUCCUACGGGAGGCAGCAGUGGGGAAUAUUGGACAAUGGGCGCAAGCCUGAUCCAGCCAUACUGCGUGGGUGAAGAAGGCCUUCGGGUUGUAAAGCCCUUUUGUUGGGAAAGAAAAGCAGCAGGUUAAUACCCCGCUGUUCUGACGGUACCCAAAGAAUAAGCACCGGCUAACUUCGUG
This 492-nucleotide ribosomal RNA is filed under the name uncultured bacterium. RNAcentral's name for it is "partial 16S ribosomal RNA". It matches the Rfam family "Bacterial small subunit ribosomal RNA", at positions 29 to 507 of the family's 1533-position model. The record is from RNAcentral.